ACUUGGGUAAUUUAAUAAAAAAAUAUUGAUUUGUGGUGUCAAAAAUAUGAGAUUAAACUCAUCCCAGGUC
Molecule: transfer RNA, 70 nt
Filed under: Isoperla bilineata
Lineage: Eukaryota; Metazoa; Arthropoda; Insecta; Plecoptera; Perlodidae
Description: tRNA-His
Rfam family: tRNA
About the family: Transfer RNA (tRNA) molecules are approximately 80 nucleotides in length. Their secondary structure includes four short double-helical elements and three loops (D, anti-codon, and T loops).
Source: RNAcentral